GUGUCAGCAGCCGCGGUAAUACCAGCACCCCGAGUGGUCGGGACGAUUAUUGGGCCUAAAGCAUCCGUAGCCGGCCUUACAAGUCCUCCGUUAAAUCCAGCUGCUUAACAGAUGGGCUGCGGAGGAUACUAUAAGACUAGGAGGCAGGAGAGGCAAGCGGUACUCAGUGGGUAGGGGUAAAAUCCGUUGAUCCAUUGAAGACCACCAGUGGCGAAGGCGGCUUGCCAGAAUGCGCUCGACGGUGAGGGAUGAAAGCUGGGGGAGCAAACCGGAUUAGAUACCCCCGUAGUCC
This 292-nucleotide ribosomal RNA is filed under the name uncultured bacterium. Its description in RNAcentral is "partial 16S ribosomal RNA". It matches the Rfam family "Archaeal small subunit ribosomal RNA", at positions 455 to 747 of the family's 1478-position model. The record is from RNAcentral.